This 21-nucleotide microRNA is filed under the name Oryza sativa (Asian cultivated rice). Its description in RNAcentral is "osa-miR1850.2". Lineage: Eukaryota; Viridiplantae; Streptophyta; Magnoliopsida; Poales; Poaceae. The record is from miRBase by way of RNAcentral.
UUGUGUGUGAACUAAACGUGG